AGUGAACGCUGGCGGUAGGCCUAACACAUGCAAGUCGAACGGCAGCACAGUAAGAGCUUGCUCUUACGGGUGGCGAGUGGCGGACGGGUGAGGAAUACAUCGGAAUCUACUUUUUCGUGGGGGAUAACGUAGGGAAACUUACGCUAAUACCGCAUACGACCUACGGGUGAAAGCAGGGGAUCUUCUGACCUUGCGCGAUUGAAUGAGCCGAUGUCGGAUUAGCUAGUUGGCGGGGUAAAGGCCCACCAAGGCGACGAUCCGUAGCUGGUCUGAGAGGAUGAUCAGCUACACUGGAACUGAGACACGGUCCAGACUCCUACGGGAGGCAGCAGUGGGGAAUAUUGGACAAUGGGCGCAAGCCUGAUCCAGCCAUACCGCGUGGGUGAAGAAGGCCUUCGGGUUGUAAAGCCCUUUUGUUGGGAAAGAAAAGCAGCAGGUUAAUACCCCGCUGUUCUGACGGUACCCAAAGAAUAAGCACCGGCUAACUUCGUG
Molecule: ribosomal RNA, 492 nt
Filed under: uncultured bacterium
Lineage: Bacteria
Description: partial 16S ribosomal RNA
Rfam family: Bacterial small subunit ribosomal RNA
Source: RNAcentral